Molecule: long non-coding RNA, 333 nt
Filed under: Dasypus novemcinctus (nine-banded armadillo)
Lineage: Eukaryota; Metazoa; Chordata; Mammalia; Cingulata; Dasypodidae
Description: lncRNA (ENSDNOG00000050236.1)
Source: RNAcentral
CACGUCUCAUUUGCAAGCAUCAGCAGCUGACAGUUCAGAUGUGCUCUCAUUAGCAUUCCUUUCUCUGAGAGGGCACACAUGGAUGAUGUACAGCACCAGGAUCAAGAUUGAGUAUAAGCCUGCAAUAAUGAAGGGCGGACAAAGAGAGUGAUGGAAUAGAACAGAGAGUCCAGGAACUUGAUUUAGCUAGAGGUGUCACUGCAGGCUGUCCAUUUGGAUAAGCACAGGAGAAAAAGAAGGAAUCUUGACCCUCUCCCUCAAAAUACAUACGUACCAAUUCCAGAUGGAUCAAAGGCUUGAACCCUGAAAGAGAAAACAGUGGUGCUUCUAGAA